GGUUGUCGUCAGCUCGUGUCGUGAGAUGUUGGGUUAAGUCCCGCAACGAGCGCAACCCCUACUUGUUAGUUGCCAUCAUUCAGUUGGGCACUCUAGCGAGACUGCCGGUAAUAAACCGGAGGAAGUGGGGGAGUGACGUCAAAUCAUCAUGCCCCUUAUGACCUGGGCUACACACGUGCUACAAUGGUUGGUACAACGAGUUGCGAGUCGGUGACGGCGAGCUAAUCUCUUAAAGCCAAUCUCAGUUCGGAUUGUAGGCUGCAACUCGCCUACAUGAAGUCGGAAUCGCUAGUAAUCGCGGAUCAGCACGCCGCGGUGAAUACGUUCCCGGGCCUU
RNAcentral lists this ribosomal RNA (336 nucleotides) under uncultured Streptococcus sp. RNAcentral describes it as "bacterial SSU rRNA". It matches the Rfam family "Bacterial small subunit ribosomal RNA", at positions 1047 to 1382 of the family's 1533-position model. Lineage: Bacteria; Bacillati; Bacillota; Bacilli; Lactobacillales; Streptococcaceae. The record is from RNAcentral.